AUUUUUCAUUUUUCAUCACAUUGCGUGUGAUUUAGUAAUUGAUUUCAUUCCAAGAAUAUCCAACAAGUAUUUUAGAAUCAUUACUUUUGUGUUGUUUUUUUUUCCUUUGUGCUUUAACACUUGGAUAAUCAACAGAGAAUGGAUUCGAUGAGGAAAAACCCUGCUGUUGCAGCAUCAAAUGAGGAAGAUUCAAACCAGGAGAAGAUGAAACAUUUGGCCCGUAGUAAUUCUCAAGCUAUUAGUUUAAUUGAAGAACUCAUUGGAGAAAACAAUUACUUAAAGGACAAAAAGAAACAACUGGCCAAGCCCCAAACGUAAGCAAUACUGUACUCCCGUGAAAAUACAAUUGACGGGCAACACCCUCCAAAUUUUGGUCGAAUUGGUCAAUUUAAAGGAUCAGUUAGAAAAAAAAUAGUAGGCAUGAUAAGUGAAGACACUCGUGAACGGGAUUUCAAAUUCAAAUUUCCAAAUUCCAAGGAAUAAUUCCUAACUGUCGAGUGUCGAAGUCGAGCAAGGAGCAACCGAACUUUCCUCCUACAACUCAAAACAAAUAA
Molecule: long non-coding RNA, 554 nt
Organism: Daphnia pulicaria
Lineage: Eukaryota; Metazoa; Arthropoda; Branchiopoda; Diplostraca; Daphniidae
Exons: 3
Source: RefSeq, a predicted model, not a curated record